AUCCAUCUGACGAGUCCCAUAUAAGAAAAACGCGCGUCCUGGAU
Schistosoma curassoni is the source of this 44-nucleotide non-coding RNA. Lineage: Eukaryota; Metazoa; Platyhelminthes; Trematoda; Strigeidida; Schistosomatidae. The record is from Rfam.